GGGCCGGUAGCUCAACCUGGAAGAGCAUCCCCCUCGCACGGGGAAGGUUCCGGGUUCAAAUCCCGGCCGGUCCACCA
RNAcentral lists this transfer RNA (77 nucleotides) under Candidatus Bathyarchaeota archaeon. RNAcentral's name for it is "tRNA-Ala". It matches the Rfam family "tRNA". Rfam says of the family: Transfer RNA (tRNA) molecules are approximately 80 nucleotides in length. Their secondary structure includes four short double-helical elements and three loops (D, anti-codon, and T loops). Further hydrogen bonds mediate the characteristic L-shaped molecular structure. tRNAs have two regions of fundamental functional importance: the anti-codon, which is responsible for specific mRNA codon recognition, and the 3' end, to which the tRNAs corresponding amino acid is attached (by aminoacyl-tRNA synthetases). tRNAs cope with the degeneracy of the genetic code in two manners: having more than one tRNA (with a specific anti-codon) for a particular amino acid; and 'wobble' base-pairing, i.e. permitting non-standard base-pairing at the 3rd anti-codon position. Lineage: Archaea; Thermoproteati; Candidatus Bathyarchaeota. The record is from RNAcentral.